Crocodylus porosus (Australian saltwater crocodile) is the source of this 1562-nucleotide long non-coding RNA. The record is from Ensembl. Lineage: Eukaryota; Metazoa; Chordata; Crocodylia; Crocodylidae.
AUGUCCGGCUCAAACAGCAGCCUCCGUUCAGCAUCCCUUCCUGGGGAAGCAGCCCCUGACACCCGACACUUCACUUCUAAAAGAGCAUCAGCGCUGGCUGUCCAGAAUCGAGUGCCUACAUGCCCUUCACUCCCUCCAGCCCAUGGGGCUUCGGGCUGUGUGGAUCAGAUUGCCAGUGCUUUCCAAUCUACCAUCAAAGGCAGGAAAGACUGGUCAAUCUUUUGAAGACCAGGCAAAUCUACCACCUGAGGGUCAACAGAAGUUUUAUCUGAAAAGGACCGAAGCCCAGAUCCACAAAGGAUCUGCCAUGGAAAUUCAAAGGGAGUUGAGUACCUAAACGCUUUUAGCCUUGAAAUGAUUACUUGUGGUUGCACUUCUCUUUUACUAGUUGUACUCUGUGUGCAUUUCCACUUCCAACUAGUAUCAUGACGCUAGUAUACGAAGACCAAGAAGGAAGGAUGUGGGACGGUGGCACUUCUAUCUGCACUUUGCCACUGGACUGUGAAAGAGAUGUUGGGUGAAAAGGAAGUGGUAGGAAGAGCACUGCAUAACACUCAUGGGACGGAGUCUGAGAGAGACGGAGCGAUCUGAAAUGAAGCGGCGAUCUGUUAAAUUUUGAUGGACAAGGGCUACUAUGUCACGUAAUUAGGUCAUUAGAUAGCUCAUUGAGUAUUCAAGUAGGUUUCCUGGCUACCAGGGGUUGAUUACUAAGGCAAUAGGCAUUUUAAAAAUGCUAAAAAAAAUACCUUCAGUUGGUACAUUAUUCUUUAUCCCAAACUAAAUCAGCAUUUCUCAACCCAAAAGUGGGUCACAAAAAUGUACGAAAGGGUCACAAAUCAAUUUAAAAAAUGAAUCAAUGAACCUUAAAAAUGGAUUCUCCUUUCAAGGAGAAAAAUGUGGAAAAGUGUGGCUUCUCCCUCGCAGGCUGCCAGAGCUCCCCCUAUGCCCCACACACCCACCCCUGCCCCACACUCUGGGGGGCUGAGGCCUGGGGGUGGAGGGCAGUGGGUUGAAAAUGAGGGGCGCUGGGUCAGGUUUGACUGUUGAUGGGUCUGGGUACAAAAAAAGUUGAGGACCACUGAUCUGAAUCACAUCUCUGGCAUCUCGAAGCUGAUUAUUUCUGCUGUGAGAUGAUGCUAUACAAGAUGUUACUGAAUACAUGUGCUCACUGUCACACCUGGAGUGGUUUAACUUCCCAAACAGACUAUGGGGGCUGAACUCCCUGCUUGUUCCUGGAGGUAGGUGUCCCCGUGCCAUAGCAGAUUGGGAUGGGAACAGCUUUCUCACCAGCGCUCUUCGCUGUAUGUAGUCUAUGACUUUGUGGAGAAAGUGAGUUUCCAGGACUGUCUCAGGGCUACCGUCCCACACACACUGUGCGCGCGCGUUAUUGUACGUCCAUCCAUCACAUGAGGUCUGUGGAGGUGAGAUCAAGUGUCGAUCGCUAUAACAAACAAGCAUAUUGUGCAAUUUUGACCUGUCUUGCAUUUGGCAAUAUCCUGUCUCCCCCACCUCUUGCAUGCCAAAUUCCUUUCAUUUUAAUAAAAAAUAAAAAUAAACCUGGC